UACUAGAGUAGCACUCGCAUAUCAAUAAGCGGAGGAAAAGAAACUAACAAGGAUUCCCCUAGUAACGGCGAGUGAAGCGGGAAGAGCUCAAAUUUGAAAUCUUAAAGGGUUUCCCUUUACGAAUUGUAGUUUAAAGAAGUGUUCUCUGUUGAGGUUUUGGUAAAAGUUCUUUGGAAUAGGACAUCAUAGAGGGUGAGAAUCCCGUAUUUGACCUUUACUUUCAACUUUGUGAUACACUUUCAAAGAGUCGGAUUGUUUGGGAAUGCAGUCCAAAAUGGGUGGUAAAUUUCAUCUAAAGCUAAAUAUUGGCGAGAGACCGAUAGCGAACAAGUACCGUGAGGGAAAGAUGAAAAGAACUUUGAAAAGAGAGUUAAACAGUACGUGAAAUUGUCAAAAGGGAAGCGUUUGACACCAGUGUUGUUUUUCUGAAAAUCAAUUAAAGAACUGUUUAUGCUAAGCUGUUUAGACUUUAUCAGCUAUCUGUUUAGUUUUGAGCUUUUCUUUAAUGCACUUUUCAGUUAACAAGUCAACAUCAAUUUCUUUUGCUGUAAAAAAGCUUGAGGAAGGUGGCUUGAGAUUCGUCUUAAGUGUUUAUAGCCUCUUGCCUAUGCAGUCGGAGAGAUUGAGGUCUGCAGCGUAGAUCCUUCGGGGCUAAAUGCAUUUGUGCUAAGUUAUAGCAUUUUAUAGACAACUUGUUGACUAUGAUUUGUCUUGUAGCUUACUCGCUUAUGUUAUUUUACCUACGCUUAGGAUGUUGAGCGCAUGUCUCUCUCU
Molecule: ribosomal RNA, 774 nt
Filed under: uncultured Neocallimastigales
Lineage: Eukaryota; Fungi; Neocallimastigomycota; Neocallimastigomycetes; Neocallimastigales
Description: partial large subunit ribosomal RNA
Rfam family: Eukaryotic large subunit ribosomal RNA
Source: RNAcentral